CCGAGUUUACAACUCCCAAACCCAAUGUGAACGUUACCAAACUGUUGCCUCGGCGGGGUCACGCCCCGGGUGCGUCGCAGCCCCGGAACCAGGCGCCCGCCGGAGGAACCAACCAAACUCUUUCUGUAGUCCCCUCGCGGACGUAUUUCUUACAGCUCUGAGCAAAAAUUCAAAAUGAAUCAAAACUUUCAACAACGGAUCUCUUGGUUCUGGCAUCGAUGAAGAACGCAGCGAAAUGCGAUAAGUAAUGUGAAUUGCAGAAUUCAGUGAAUCAUCGAAUCUUUGAACGCACAUUGCGCCCGCCAGUAUUCUGGCGGGCAUGCCUGUCCGAGCGUCAUUUCAACCCUCGAACCCCUCCGGGGGAUCGGCGUUGGGGAUCGGGACCCCUCACACGGGUGCCGGCCCCGAAAUACAGUGGCGGUCUCGCCGCAGCCUCUCCUGCGCAGUAGUUUGCACAACUCGCACCGGGAGCGCGGCGCGUCCACGUCCGUAAAACACCCAACUUUCUGAAAUGUUGACCUCGGAUCAGGUAGGAAUACCCGCUGAACUUAAGCAUAUCAA
Molecule: ribosomal RNA, 561 nt
Filed under: Trichoderma asperellum
Lineage: Eukaryota; Fungi; Ascomycota; Sordariomycetes; Hypocreales; Hypocreaceae
Description: eukaryotic LSU rRNA
Rfam family: 5.8S ribosomal RNA (bases 184-337)
Source: RNAcentral